Molecule: long non-coding RNA, 1213 nt
Filed under: Fukomys damarensis (Damara mole-rat)
Lineage: Eukaryota; Metazoa; Chordata; Mammalia; Rodentia; Bathyergidae
Description: lncRNA (ENSFDAG00000032136.1)
Source: RNAcentral
GGGCGGGGAUUGCGCCCGAGAGGCCCAAUCACAGGCCGAUCCUUGCUGGAAGGGCUGGUUAGAAGGCUGCGAAGAGGGUCUUGGGGGUCCCAGCGCUAGGCCUGAAAGGGGCGGGGGAGGUGGGCGGGGCUGAGCCCGGCGGACUGGUGACGCGCGUUGUAGUUGGGGAAACGCGUCGUGGUUUCCCCUCUGAUCGGGAGAUCCCGAGCCCGAGGCAGGCGUGGGCGAGGUCUGCAGUGCGUUCCUCUUUCACCAGCCGGAGGCACGAGGAUCCAGCUUGCGCCUGCUGACCUGUUUCUUCCUUCCUCUCCGGUUUCCCGGGAGACCUUUCUAGCUAGACCUCAGCGUGUGGGUCUGAGCUGCUUCUGGUCCCCAAGGACACUCAGGUUCUGCAGGAAAACCCCUGGGAGAAGAAAAGAGAAUGAUACUUGAGUGGAUCAGAGCCUGUUUAAAAGCUGAACUGAAGAAGGAAAUUGAUAAUGCAAGAGUAGAAAGAGACCUCAAUGAUGCUGAAUGGUGUGGUGGUGGUGAUACAGGCCUAUACAUCCCAGCACUCCGGGAGACUGAGGCAGGAAGAUUGCAAAUUGGAUCCCAACCUGGGCAACUGAGAGACUUAGCAGAGACUUUGCCUCAAAAAAGGAGGGGUAGGUAGUGGAUGUAGCUCAGUGUGAAGGUGGUGGGUUCAAUCCCCAAUUCCUGGAAAAAGAAAAGAAAAAAACCUGUACCCUAAACUCUAAAAUCUAGAAGAGAAAAUUUCAAUGAGAAAAAUCUUUUAAACUACAGACAUUUUUUGGACUUUCUAGAAAUGCAAGAAAAGGUUAUCCAACUAAAGCUGAAUUGAUACCAUAUGUAUCAUUCCAGUAAAGAAUGAAAAAUGUAUUCUAGUACCAAAAAUCAUCUAAAAUCCUUCAUAUUUGAUGUAAAGUAGAAACCCAUUAGUUUUUCUUUCUUUUUUUGUCCAAACAGCAAGUAGACACAGAUUAAGAUUCAUCUUUAUAUUACUGGCUUUAAUUUUUACCAGUUGUUGUAUCCUUUUUUUGAUAUUUUACACUGGCCAGGGUCCAUUUUAGUGAAAUGACCUCUCCUUUUUUGGUAUUAGCCUCCGCCGCCCUUAUCACAAAAAAUAUCGUAGGCUUAAUGUGGGAAAAAAUAAAAAUAUUGAAAUUUAAACAGAAUAAAACAUAACCCUAUCAUCAAAAAUAAAUAGUGAGGG